This 524-nucleotide ribosomal RNA is filed under the name Boliniales sp. RNAcentral's name for it is "eukaryotic LSU rRNA". It matches the Rfam family "Eukaryotic large subunit ribosomal RNA", at positions 39 to 575 of the family's 3401-position model. Lineage: Eukaryota; Fungi; Ascomycota; Sordariomycetes; Boliniales. The record is from RNAcentral.
CAUAUCAAUAAGCGGAGGAAAAGAAACCAACAGGGAUUGCCCCAGUAACGGCGAGUGAAGCGGCAACAGCUCAAAUUUGAAAUCUGGCCUCGGCCCGAGUUGUAAUUUGCAGAGGAUGCUUUCGGCGCGGCGCCUCCCGAGUCCCCUGGAACGGGGCGCCACAGAGGGUGAGAGCCCCGUAUGGUAGGACGCCUAGCCUGUAUAAAGCUCCUUCGACGAGUCGAGUAGUUUGGGAAUGCUGCUCAAAAUGGGAGGUAAAUUCCUUCUAAAGCUAAAUACCGGCCAGAGACCGAUAGCGCACAAGUAGAGUGAUCGAAAGAUGAAAAGCACUUUGAAAAGAGGGUUAAACAGCACGUGAAAUUGUUGAAAGGGAAGCGCUCGUGACCAGACUUGCGCCGGGUCGAUCAUCCGGUGUUCUCACCGGUGCACUCGGCCCGGCUCAGGCCAGCAUCGGUUUUCGCGGGGGGAUAAAAGCCCGGGGAACGUGGCUCUUACGGGAGUGUUAUAGCCCCGGGCACAAUACC